CCCCACUCAGAUGUACUGCAUCACGUAGGGCCUGCUCUGCUGUGUGGGAAAUGAAGCCAGAAUCCACAGAUGUCAUUAUCCAUCUGCAUACUUUUGUUUACUACCCAGAGGGCAAGGAUAUUGCAUUUUAAAAGAGGACUUUUGUUCUUUCUUAUCACAAAUGACUUGAGAAGCUCUGACCAUUCAUGUUUACCCUGAGUGAAAGCCCCAGUCAAAGCCUUGCUUCCUGGAGAGCUUUGAGAUUCUGGUACAAAAGGCAUUUUAUAAGCACAAAGUGGAAAAGCAUCAUUUAUAUUCAUUUGCUGCUGUGGCAUUUCUCUCUGGAAUCUUCCUCUUGUCUGUCAACAUUGUGCAAAAAAGACUGGCCUCAUCUACAUUACAAAUAUCAUUCUUUUAAUGGUCUGGAAGUGGGAAAGAGCACAAGAGUGGGAGGAGAAGCUUGAGCUCUUCUGUUGGAGGGUCUUGGGCUUGUUUAUCCCUAAAAUUGGUUGGACAUAGUUGGUGUGGAUAUUAUGAACUGUGUACGAAAGACCUGAGUAUGAAAGUACUAUGGUGCUUGUGCCUCUUGGCUGCAACGAAUGUUUAUGAUCUGCUUGCAGUGACUCACAGGAGAAUCACAGCCAUAGGGGAUGAUCCUCAGAGGGGUCGUUUAGAAUAGACGAGUCUCUGGGCAGAGGAUGGUCUGCAUUGGCCUCCGCGGCUACAGGAAGGCUUCCAGAGUGAAGAAAUUUCCACCAAGAUGUCUCUUAGGACCUGUGGCAAAUCCUUCCUCGUAGGGGACUCUACUUGAUGUGAUGUAAGAAACAUCUUUUUGUCCCAGAAGAUCUCAUGUGUGACUUAUCACACAUAGAGUUUGCCAACUGGAUUGGUUGUGAUAGAGCCUGGCUCCAAGGGGCUCCCAUUCCCAUCUGGGAAUGUCCUAGAACAUGAGGCAUUAUCCAAGAGGCAGAGGAUGGCGUCACUUGGGCCAAAGGUCCGAACCUGAGGGCCAUAUAAAUGAGUGGAGAUUCGGAGAGAGGAGCUUGGAGGGCAGGAGUGCUGCCACAGGGAAGGAUGGCACCCAGAGGGAGAAAGACCUGUAUCUCAAUCCUUUCAUACCUGUGUCUGGGGCCUCCUGUGAGUCUGCAACCAGCUGCUGCUGCCUCUCCUCCUUUACCUUCUUCAAAUCUUCUCAUCACACAAUUUUCAAAUAUAUACCUAAGUAGAGAGAAUGGUACAACGAACUCCCACGUACCUGUCACCGUCAUCCGCCUUGAACAAUUAUCCACACUCAUCCUGUCUGCCUCCUCCCCCAAACCUCCCCUUCCUCAAAUUAUUAUUGAAAUUAGUUCAUUCUCAUCAUUUUUAAUUUUUAAUUUCCCCUGUUGCAUUUUUUUGGCCCUUUCUUUAAAAAGAUACAUUUCUCAAGAGAGCCCUGAGUAGUUCUGACAGAAAUGUUGGAUUGACCAGACAAUGUGUGCUUCAUUCAUUUCAGACACUUAGUGAGUCUGAGGCACAGCACAGGAUUGAAGACAGUAGCAGAAUAGGGCUCCUGACCUCAAGAGCCUAUCAUCUAGUUCUGGGGAGAGGACGAGGGCACUAACAAGUCCUCAGGAGUAACAGCAAAAGGCUUUGAGCUCAGCUGACAGAAAUUAAACAGCCCCGCUCUCCAAUGCAGAUGAGAACCUUAAGAAUGAAAUCACAGCAGCAGUGAACUAAACUGAGAAAAAAACACCUUCCGGCAACCUUGCACAUGACAUUUGUCACUGCAAACAGGCUUGUCAUGCACAAAUCACCUGCAACAACAAAGAGGAUUAUGGAUGGGUUGGUGGCCAUCACAUGGGAUCUUUUUGUGCUGAGGAGUUUAAAUCAGGUGGUUACUUGCACACCAUUUUGUGGGAUGUAUUUGUAAAUAUAUCCUGCUGGCAUAUUUUAUGCUUCAGUUAAUUGAGUUGGCAUCUAAUUUAGUUGACAUCUAAAAAUAAAAUCAAUUUUCAGACAAAAUACCCAUAAAAUAAGUGAAAUGCUAUAAUAGGUUUCAAGAAAUUAAAAUGUAAUAUAUUUAGGCUUCUAUUCUAAAGCAAUUUCAUGUGGAAUAGUGGAUACUGUAGAUGUAUUUUUUAUUUCUCCUGAAUCUGUCAAUUACAUGAUAAUGAAUGCUGCUACUAUAUUUUCAGAAAUUUAUUGCUUGGAGUAGUUUGUCAUGAAGAAUGAAAUUUUUGUUGGGGUUUCCUUUACAAUGUCAAAGAGCUUAAAUAUGAAUACUUUGUAUGUCGAUGUGCAACUGUAAUUAAGCCAUGACAAUGAUUAUUACUUUGGGCGUAAACACUAUCAAAUUUUCAUUGGGCGAGUUCUUUUUUAAUUAAUGUUGAGUUAUGUUCUGUUUAUUAUCCUGUUUGCUUAUGUUUCCUGCCAUUUUCCAGUUGUCUGCUUGAAUCUCCUUUUCUAAUAGUGAGUUAGCAACUGAUAAUGUGUAUUGAUUUCAGUUUUGCUUCUCAUUUACAUUUUUAUCUCUUUGGUUGAUGUAUUUGCCUUAAUCAUUUUAUUUUUAUAAGCAGUUGUACAGUUUGUUAAUUUAGCUAGAUGAUUAAAUUUGGCUUCUAAAGAGAGUUUGUUUUAGAAACUGGUCCCUGAAGUAAAUUAGUAUUUGGCAUUUUCAACAUAUCAAAGGGACUGGUCUCCUAAAGAUAGCUAAGAACGUCACUCUAAAUUCUUAAAAGUGGAUUCCUAGUUUUGAAACCUUGGACUAUAUAGAGCCAUAUAUUCCAGUAGGUGGUGCAAAUCGACUCCAUUUCAAAUGUAAAUGUAAUUUAAAAUUGUGAUGUAACUAUUUG
Long non-coding RNA from Nyctereutes procyonoides (raccoon dog), 2813 nucleotides. RefSeq lists it as uncharacterized. The transcript is spliced from 3 exons. NCBI's taxonomy places the organism in Eukaryota, Metazoa, Chordata, Mammalia, Carnivora, Canidae. The record is from RefSeq and is a predicted model, not a curated record.